UAGUAACAAGAAUGUGUCCAAAGUACACGGAUGCCCCACUCACACUAUCAUUUUCUAUGUUCAAUGGACCAUGAAAUUGGAUAAACAAGAAUGUGUCCACAGUACACGGAUGCCCCACUCACACUAUCAUUUUCUAUGUUUAAAGGACUGUGAAAUUGGAAUAAAUUCUCUAAUUUGGCAUUAAAAUUAGAAUGAUCUUAUCAAAGGGAACAUGCAUACUAAGUUUCAAGUUGAUUGGACUUCUACUUUAUCAAAAACUACCUUGACCAAAAACUUUAACCUGAAAUUUGCACUAUCAUUUUCUAUGUUCAGUGAACCGUAAAAUUGGGGUCAAAACUCUAAUUUGGGCAUUUAAAUUAGAAAGAUCAUAUCAUAGGGCACAUGUAUACUAAGUUUCAAGUUCAUUGGACUUCAACUUCAUCAAAAACUACCUUGACCAAAAACUUUAACCUGAAGCCAAAAACUUUAACCUGAAAUUUGCACUAUCAUUUUCUAUGUUCAGUGAACCGUAAAAUUGGGGUCAAAACUCUAAUUUGGCAUUUAAAUUAGAAAGAUCAUAUCAUAGGGCACAUGUAUACUAAGUUUCAAGUUGAUUGGACUUCAACUUCAUCAAAAACUACCUUGACCAAAAACUUUAAC
Molecule: long non-coding RNA, 639 nt
Filed under: Mytilus galloprovincialis (Mediterranean mussel)
Lineage: Eukaryota; Metazoa; Mollusca; Bivalvia; Mytilida; Mytilidae
Source: RNAcentral